Molecule: transfer RNA, 77 nt
Filed under: Sphaerodactylus townsendi
Lineage: Eukaryota; Metazoa; Chordata; Lepidosauria; Squamata; Sphaerodactylidae
Description: tRNA-Val
Source: RNAcentral
GGAGAGACUGUGGCUCAGUGGCAGAAAUCAUCGGCUUGACAUGCAGAAGGGCCCAGGUUCUCUCCCUGGCAUCUCCA